CUAGUUCGAAUUUUAGACCACUAAUUAAGUUGGAGUAGAUGCGCUCAAUCUCCGAAUGAUUUUGGGGUUCUAUUUUUAGGUAAGUAGUUAAUUGGCAGCUCAACUGAAUUAAAAUGAAGAUUCGUCAUCUUGANNNNNNNNNNNNNNNNNNNNNNNNNNNNNNNNNNNNUCGUGCAAUUUGUCUUUGUUUUUUGUUCGUGUUCUCUUCUCUUUGAUUCAUUAGGUGAAUUUGUCUCUGAGUUUAUUUGUUCCUAAAAUAAACAUGGAAGGGAAAUGUUUGAUUUCACGAAACUGAACAUCACGACAAUCUCCCGAAACUUACCAAUGCGUAUCUUAUAUCCAUUGUACUUGUACUCCAAAGUAUAACUUUUUGUGUUUUUCUUAAAAUAAGUUUUACAGGAAGAUGUAAAAAGAACUUUUAUUGAUUAUUCAUUAUGGGAAAAAAAUAGAGAGUAAAUUAAAUGCAAUUUACAUUAAAUUUCAGAGAAUAAGUAAAAAUAAAUCUUAAAAUUAUAAAAGUUAGUUGUUUUUACUUAUAAUUUGGGACAAUAAAAAAUGAUAUUUUUUCCUUAUAAUAUGGGACGGAUGAAGUACUUUUUAAACAUUAAAUUCUUUUUUAUUAUUACAAGUUAAUUUCUAAUUUUAGAUACCUUAACAUGUCCCAUAAAGACACAUGUUAACAUGACGUUUUUUCAAGUUUGAGCCCCACUAUAACUUUGAAAGGAGGUAAUGGUCCAAACAUUUAU
Molecule: long non-coding RNA, 746 nt
Filed under: Trifolium pratense (red clover)
Lineage: Eukaryota; Viridiplantae; Streptophyta; Magnoliopsida; Fabales; Fabaceae
Description: long non-coding RNA (TPRA_LNC008847)
Source: RNAcentral